This 440-nucleotide ribosomal RNA is filed under the name uncultured bacterium. Its description in RNAcentral is "bacterial SSU rRNA". It matches the Rfam family "Bacterial small subunit ribosomal RNA", at positions 339 to 796 of the family's 1533-position model. The record is from RNAcentral.
UUACGGAAGGCAGCAGUGGGGAAUUUUGCGCAAUGGGGGAAACCCUGACGCAGCGACGCCGCGUGGAGGAUGAAGGUCUUCGGAUUGUAAACUCCUUUUGUCGGGGAAGAUAAUGACGGUACCCGAUGAAUAAGCCACGGCUAACUCUGUGCCAGCAGCCGCGGUAAGACAGAGGUGGCAAGCGUUGUUCGGAAUUACUGGGCUUAAAGGGCGCGUAGGCGGUGGAGUAAGUCUGAGGUGGAAGAUCAGGGCCUAACCCUGAAAUUGCCUUGGAAACUGCAUCACUUGAGUCAGCGAGGGGAUGGCGGAAUUCCAGGUGUAGCGGUGAAAUGCGUAGAUAUCUGGAGGAAGGCCGGUGGCGAAGGCGGCCAUCUGGCGCUGAACUGACGCUGAGGCGCGAAAGCGUGGGGAGCAAACAGGAUUAGAUACCCUAGUAGUCC